This 75-nucleotide ribosomal RNA is filed under the name Clostridiales bacterium COT073_COT-073. RNAcentral's name for it is "partial 23S ribosomal RNA". The record is from RNAcentral. Lineage: Bacteria; Bacillati; Bacillota; Clostridia; Eubacteriales.
AGUUCAAGGGAGUAAGAGCAUAGGGGGAAUGCCUUGGCACUAGGAGCCGAAGAAGGUCGUGAUAAGCUGCGAAAA